AGCAGCCGCGGUAAUUCCAGCUCCAAUAGCGUAUAUUAAAGUUGUUGCAGUUAAAAAGCUCGUAGUUGAACUUCAGGCCUGUCCAGACGGUCCGCCUUAAUUGGUGUGUACUGUCCUUGGGUGGGUCCUACCUUCUGGCGAAGCGGCAUGGCCUUAAUUGGUUGUGUCGGGGAACCAGGACUUUUUACUGUGAAAAAAUUAGAGUGUUCAAAGCAGGCAAAUAUGCUCGAAUACAUUAGCAUGGAAUAAUGGAAUAGGACGAUGGUUCUAUUUUGUUGGUUCUAGGACCGUUGUAAUGAUUAAUAGGGAUAGUUGGGGGCAUUAGUAUUCAAUUGUCAGAGGUGAAAUUCUUGGAUUUAUUGAAGACUAACUACUGCGAAAGCAUUUGCCAAGGAUGUUUUCAUUAAUCAAGAACGAAAGUUAGGGGAUCGAAGACGAUCAGAUACCGUCGUAGUCUUUAAACCNUAAAACUAUGCCGACCUAGGAAAUCGGGCGGAUGUUGACAAAAUGACUCGCUCGG
Molecule: ribosomal RNA, 520 nt
Filed under: uncultured Paraglomus
Lineage: Eukaryota; Fungi; Glomeromycota; Glomeromycetes; Paraglomerales; Paraglomeraceae
Description: bacterial SSU rRNA
Rfam family: Eukaryotic small subunit ribosomal RNA
Source: RNAcentral